Molecule: long non-coding RNA, 385 nt
Organism: Mirounga angustirostris (Northern elephant seal)
Lineage: Eukaryota; Metazoa; Chordata; Mammalia; Carnivora; Phocidae
Exons: 3
Source: RefSeq, a predicted model, not a curated record
CCCUCCGGGGGUGUCCGACUCCGCUCCCGAGGUCCCCGAGGUCUGCUGCGGGCCCUGGCGGCGCGCCCGUCCCGUGCUGCGAGCGGUAACUGGCUCGCCAGCCUCACAUCCUUGCGGUCCGGGAGCAAGAUCUCGGGUAUCGCCAAGACCCGGGGUUACCCCUUGGGAAAAGCAACUUGAAUUCUGACACUCCACCCUCGGGCUGAAUUGCAACUCACUAAAUAAAUGUAAUAGAAGCAAGGAAAACAGCGAGACUUCUCUUUUAGGAUCUGGGAGCCCUUUCUCCACAGACAAGCAGAUAGUGAGAAGUGAGAUGAACAUAAUGCGGUGAUUGGAGUGAACAAUAUGGUAUAUAGCCCAUAAAUAAAGUGCUUCCUGCGCCUAA